RNAcentral lists this ribosomal RNA (452 nucleotides) under uncultured bacterium. Its description in RNAcentral is "bacterial SSU rRNA". It matches the Rfam family "Bacterial small subunit ribosomal RNA", at positions 1 to 461 of the family's 1533-position model. The record is from RNAcentral.
UAGAGUUUGAUCCUGGCUCAGAUUGAACGCUGGCGGCAUGCCUUACACAUGCAAGUCGAACGGCAGCACGGGAGCAAUCCUGGUGGCGAGUGGCGAACGGGUGAGUAAUAUAUCGGAACGUGCCCAGUCGUGGGGGAUAACGCAGCGAAAGCUGUGCUAAUACCGCAUACGAUCUAUGGAUGAAAGCGGGGGAUCGCAAGACCUCGCGCGAUUGGAGCGGCCGAUAUCAGAUUAGCUAGUUGGUGGGGUAAAAGCCCACCAAGGCGACGAUCUGUAGCUGGUCUGAGAGGACGACCAGCCACACUGGAACUGAGACACGGUCCAGACUCCUACGGGAGGCAGCAGUGGGGAAUUUUGGACAAUGGGCGAAAGCCUGAUCCAGCAAUGCCGCGUGCAGGACGAAGGCCUUCGGGUUGUAAACUGCUUUUGUACGGAACGAAACGGUCUCUUCU